CCCUGGCAGAGCUGGACUGAGGUCUUUUUGGAAGGCUGCCUGUGCUUGACUUGCCUUCUCAAAGUCUCAGAUAUAGCUUCAUUUCAACCCCUGUCUUCUCACUGUGCCUGCACAUUUUACAAGAGCUACCCUGAGUAAAUUGAAAGAAAUACAAUACUGGCCU
This 163-nucleotide long non-coding RNA is filed under the name Zonotrichia albicollis (white-throated sparrow). Its description in RNAcentral is "lncRNA (ENSZALG00000013665.1)". The record is from RNAcentral. Lineage: Eukaryota; Metazoa; Chordata; Aves; Passeriformes; Passerellidae.